CAGAGAGAGAGAGAGAGACACACACACACACACACACACACACACACACACACACACACACACACACACACACACACACACACACACACACACACACACACACACACACACACACACACACACACACACACAGAGACAGAGACAGAGAGAGAGAGAGAGAGAGAGAGAGAGAGAGAGAGAGAGAGAGAGAGAGAGCUAGAGAGAGAGAGAGCGCGCGCGCGCUUGCCAGCUGUGUGGACUCUCCGUCCUGAAGGCUGAAUCUCGCGGUGGUGAAAGCAUCUCCUCCUCCUCCCGGUGACAACAGGUCCUCUGAUCCAGUGGGUGAGCGGUGGUCUCUCCUCACUGACACGUUGACGCGUCUCCGCAGGACACUUUGGACACUUUGGAUUUUCAUUAACGGCCCGAGAAAACGUUUGUACUUUUUAAAAAAGUUCGCCAGGAGACUUCCCCAAAACUUUUUGGGAGGAGAGAGAGAAUGAUUCUGCUAGGACACCAGCCGCCAGUCCAGUAAAACCAUGGAGUUGUACCCGGGCAGCGGGCGGUGGCGGUGGAGGAUCCAUCACGUCCUCCCAGUGGCCCUGCUGUGGAUCAGCCUGCACAGCCAAGGUAGGACCCCGCCCGCCGGCCGCCGGCCGCCGGCCCCAGGCGGAGCACUUUGAUUAGAACCAGAGGAGAUGGAAAGCAUCACGACAAAUGUACUUUAUUUUAGAGUAAAGGGACAUUAGACAAUUCCCACGGCUGAAAAUAUUCCAAUAAGAGUGGGAGUAGCUGUCAAAGCUGUCAACUGUUCUUGGUUCAAGUCUUUGAGAGGAGGAGAACUCGCUGCUCCAGCCCUGGAGUUGUGAAUGAUGGUCUUUGCUUCAGUAGACUAAAUCUGAGAGCUGUAUGCCGUCUAGAAAUAAAAUCCUUAAAAGAAGGCUUCUCUUUACAUUUUCGAAAGAACAAGGAAAGUGCAUAUACAUUUCCUUGAAUAAUAAAUAAAUAAGUUGAUAAUAAUAUGAAUUACUGUAGUAUUAAUCUAGUCAAUGUCUAAUUAAUAUCACCACUAUAUAAACAUAAUAACCACCUUCUUCAAGUAUAAAAUGAAUAAUUCUAUGCAUCAAUGAAUUACAUUUUAUAUAUUCCAGGGGUACAAUAGGGCAGAGUGAUCUUGAAAGAUAUGACAUUGUCUCCUAUCUUUCAGCAGACGGGGUUUUUUACUUUAUUGCUCACAGUUUGUAAAGAACAGUGAGUUUUGAAAAACCAAAGCAUAUUUCAUCAUUGUCGAUGCCCGGGCCGCAGUAGAAUAAUAAAAAAUGGUUGAGGUGGAGAUGUUCACAUGCACACACACACACAUACACACACACACACACACACACACACACACACACACACACACACACACACACACACACACACACACACACACACACACACACACACACACACACACACACACACACACACACACACACACACACACACACACACACACACACACACACACACACACACACAGA
This is a long non-coding RNA of Gadus macrocephalus (Pacific cod), 1499 nucleotides long. RefSeq lists it as uncharacterized. The transcript has 2 exons. Lineage: Eukaryota; Metazoa; Chordata; Actinopteri; Gadiformes; Gadidae. The record is from RefSeq and is a predicted model, not a curated record.